This 119-nucleotide ribosomal RNA is filed under the name Oncorhynchus mykiss (rainbow trout). Lineage: Eukaryota; Metazoa; Chordata; Actinopteri; Salmoniformes; Salmonidae. The record is from RNAcentral.
GCUUACGGCCACAUCGGCCUGAGUACGCCUGAUCUCGUCCGAUCUCGGAAGCUAAGCAGGGUCGGGCCUGGUUAGUACUUGGAUGGGAGACCGCCUGGGAAUACCAGGUGCUGUAAGCU